RNAcentral lists this transfer RNA (75 nucleotides) under Pseudomonadota bacterium. Its description in RNAcentral is "tRNA-Val". It matches the Rfam family "tRNA". Rfam says of the family: Transfer RNA (tRNA) molecules are approximately 80 nucleotides in length. Their secondary structure includes four short double-helical elements and three loops (D, anti-codon, and T loops). Further hydrogen bonds mediate the characteristic L-shaped molecular structure. tRNAs have two regions of fundamental functional importance: the anti-codon, which is responsible for specific mRNA codon recognition, and the 3' end, to which the tRNAs corresponding amino acid is attached (by aminoacyl-tRNA synthetases). tRNAs cope with the degeneracy of the genetic code in two manners: having more than one tRNA (with a specific anti-codon) for a particular amino acid; and 'wobble' base-pairing, i.e. permitting non-standard base-pairing at the 3rd anti-codon position. Lineage: Bacteria; Pseudomonadati; Pseudomonadota. The record is from RNAcentral. RNAcentral also lists the same sequence under 3 other names.
GGGCGGUUAGCUCAGUGGUAGAGCACUGCCUUCACACGGCAGGGGUCACAAGUUCAAGCCUUGUACCGCCCACCA